GAUGAAGAACGUAGCGAAAUGCGAUAAGUAAUGUGAAUUGCAGAAUUCAGUGAAUCAUCGAAUCUUUGAACGCACAUUGCGCCCCUUGGUAUUCCGGGGGGCAUGCCUGUUCGAGCGUCAUUUCACCACUCAAGCCUCGCUUGGUAUUGGGCAACGCGGUCCGCCGCGUGCCUCAAAUCGACCGGCUGGGUCUUCUGUCCCCUAAGCGUUGUGGAAACUAUUCGCUAAAGGGUGUUCGGGAGGCUACGCCGUAAAACAACCCCAUUUCUAAGGUUGACCUCGGAUCAGGUAGGGAUACCCGCUGAACUUAAGCAUAUCAAUAAGCGGAGGA
RNAcentral lists this unclassified non-coding RNA (331 nucleotides) under soil metagenome. Its description in RNAcentral is "partial contains 5.8S ribosomal RNA, internal transcribed spacer 2, and large subunit ribosomal RNA". The stretch from base 1 to 120 matches the Rfam family "5.8S ribosomal RNA", at positions 35 to 154 of the family's 154-position model. The record is from RNAcentral.